RNAcentral lists this unclassified non-coding RNA (323 nucleotides) under soil metagenome. Its description in RNAcentral is "partial contains 5.8S ribosomal RNA, internal transcribed spacer 2, and large subunit ribosomal RNA". The stretch from base 1 to 120 matches the Rfam family "5.8S ribosomal RNA", at positions 35 to 154 of the family's 154-position model. The record is from RNAcentral.
GAUGAAGAACGUAGCGAAAUGCGAUACGUAAUGUGAAUUGCAGAAUUCAGUGAAUCAUCGAAUCUUUGAACGCACAUUGCGCCCCUUGGUAUUCCAUGGGGCAUGCCUGUUCGAGCGUCAUUUGUACCUUCAAGCUUUGCUUGGUGUUGGGUGUUUGUCCUGAGGGACUCGCCUUAAAGUAAUUGGCAGCCAGUGUUUGGUUUUGAAGCGCAGCACAAGUCGCGAUUCAAAGCUAUACGCCCGCUUCCACAAGCCUUUUUCACUUUUGACCUCGGAUCAGGUAGGGAUACCCGCUGAACUUAAGCAUAUCAAUAAGCGGAGGA